Molecule: ribosomal RNA, 917 nt
Filed under: uncultured beta proteobacterium
Lineage: Bacteria; Pseudomonadati; Pseudomonadota; Betaproteobacteria
Description: bacterial SSU rRNA
Rfam family: Bacterial small subunit ribosomal RNA
Source: RNAcentral
AGAGUUUGAUCCUGGCUCAGAUUGAACGCUGGCGGCAUGCCUUACACAUGCAAGUCGAACGGCAGCACGGGUGCUUGCACCUGGUGGCGGGUGGCGAACGGGUGAGUAAUGUAUCGGAACGUACCAUUCAGUGGGGGAUAACUAUCCGAAAGGAUAGCUAAUACCGCAUAUUCUGUGAGCAGGAAAGCAGGGGAUCGCAAGACCUUGCGCUGAUUGAGCGGCCGAUAUCAGAUUAGCUAGUUGGUGGGGUAAAAGCCUACCAAGGCGACGAUCUGUAGCGGGUCUGAGAGGAUGAUCCGCCACACUGGAACUGAGACACGGUCCAGACUCCUACGGGAGGCAGCAGUGGGGAAUUUUGGACAAUGGGCGAAAGCCUGAUCCAGCCAUGCCGCGUGAGUGAAGAAGGCCUUCGGGUUGUAAAGCUCUUUCGGCCGGGAAGAAAUCGCAUAGGUUAAUACCCUGUGUGGAUGACGGUACCGGAAUAAGAAGCACCGGCUAACUACGUGCCAGCAGCCGCGGUAAUACGUAGGGUGCGAGCGUUAAUCGGAAUUACUGGGCGUAAAGCGUGCGCAGGCGGUUUUUUAAGACAGGCGUGAAAUCCCCGGGCUUAACCUGGGAACUGCGCUUGUGACUGGAAGGCUAGAGUACGGCAGAGGGGGGUAGAAUUCCACGUGUAGCAGUGAAAUGCGUAGAGAUGUGGAGGAAUACCGAUGGCGAAGGCAGCCCCCUGGGCUAGUACUGACGCUCAUGCACGAAAGCGUGGGGAGCAAACAGGAUUAGAUACCCUGGUAGUCCACGCCCUAAACGAUGUCAACUAGGUGUUGGAAGGGUUAAACCUUUUAGUACCCCAGCUAACGCGUGAAGUUGACCGCCUGGGGGAGUACGGCCGCAAGGUUAAAACUCAAAGGAAUUGACGG